RNAcentral lists this ribosomal RNA (518 nucleotides) under uncultured Glomeromycotina. RNAcentral describes it as "SSU rRNA". It matches the Rfam family "Eukaryotic small subunit ribosomal RNA", at positions 569 to 1091 of the family's 1831-position model. The record is from RNAcentral. Lineage: Eukaryota; Fungi; Glomeromycota.
AGCAGCCGCGGUAAUUCCAGCUCCAAUAGCGUAUAUUAAAGUUGUUGCAGUUAAAAAGCUCGUAGUUGAAUUUCGGGGUCAGUAGGUUGGUCAUGCCUUCGGUAUGUACUGGUCUCACUGAUUCCUCCCUCUUGAAGAACCGUAAUGUCAUUAAUUUGAUGUUGCGGGGAAACAGGACUGUUACUUUGAAAAAUUAGAGUGUUUAAAGCAGGCUCACGCUUGAAUACAUUAGCAUGGAAUAAUGAAAUAGGACGUUCGAUCCUAUUUUGUUGGUUUCUAGGAUUGACGUAAUGAUUAAUAGGGAUGGUUGGGGGCAUUAGUAUUCAAUUGUCAGAGGUGAAAUUCUUGGAUUUAUUGAAGACUAACUACUGCGAAAGCAUUUGCCAAGGAUGUUUUCAUUAAUCAAGAACGAAAGUUAGGGGAUCGAAGACGAUCAGAUACCGUCGUAGUCUUAACCAUAAACUAUGCCGACUAGGGAUCGGAUGAUGUUAAUUUUAAUGACUCAUUCGGCGCUUAAC